GCUUUCUUUACUUGGUGGAAUGUGGUGACAUAUGGUGGCAUUUCUCCCAACCCUUUUUCCCAGGAGAGAGGG
Molecule: microRNA precursor, 72 nt
Filed under: Mus pahari (shrew mouse)
Lineage: Eukaryota; Metazoa; Chordata; Mammalia; Rodentia; Muridae
Description: microRNA 5127 (MGP_PahariEiJ_G0006944.1)
Source: RNAcentral